GAUGAACGCUGGCGGCGUGCCUAAUACAUGCAAGUCGAGCGAACAGACGAGGAGCUUGCUCCUCUGACGUUAGCGGCGGACGGGUGAGUAACACGUGGAUAACCUACCUAUAAGACUGGGAUAACUUCGGGAAACCGGAGCUAAUACCGGAUAAUAUAUUGAACCGCAUGGUUCAAUAGUGAAAGACGGUUUUGCUGUCACUUAUCGCUGGAUCCGCGCCGCAUUAGCUAGUUGGUAAGGUCACGGCUUAUCAAGGCAACGAUGCGUAGCCGACCUGAGAGGGUGGUCGGCCAGACUGGAACGGAGGAACGGCCAAGUCGGCUACGGGAGGCAGCAGAAGCGACUCUGGCGGAAAGGGGGAAAGAAUGACGGAGAAACGCCGCGUGAGUGAUGAAGGUCUGCGGAGCGUAAAACUAUGUUAUUAGGGAUGAACACAUGUUUAAGUUGCGACGCACGGCUUGACGGUAUCAUAUCAGAAGACCACGGGUAACUACGUG
RNAcentral lists this ribosomal RNA (497 nucleotides) under uncultured bacterium. RNAcentral's name for it is "partial 16S ribosomal RNA". It matches the Rfam family "Bacterial small subunit ribosomal RNA", at positions 28 to 507 of the family's 1533-position model. The record is from RNAcentral.